RNAcentral lists this unclassified non-coding RNA (137 nucleotides) under uncultured Ascomycota. RNAcentral describes it as "sequence contains ITS1". Lineage: Eukaryota; Fungi; Ascomycota. The record is from RNAcentral.
CCUAGAGUUGCGGGCUUUGCCUGCUAUCUCUUACCCAUGUCUUUUGAGUACUUACGUUUCCUCGGCGGGUCCGCCCGCCGAUUGGACAAUUUAAACCAUUUGCAGUUGCAAUCAGCGUCUGAAAAACUUAAUAGUUA